GUACUAGUAAAUCGAGCAUUAGUUUUUCAAUUGUAUGACUAAAAUCUUUGCAAAUAAAUAUUGCAAGUUUUCACAAUUCUCCUCUUUGAGCUUGAAUGAAAUUUGUAUAUUGUGAUAAUUUUUUGUGGUGGAUUUUGAUGAUGGGUGAGCAAUAAGUGGUGGUAUGACUUUUAAUUUCGAUAACGAUGAUGAAACUCGUGAUUUUGAUGUGGAUGGUGAAUUUAUGGUUAUGGAUGUGAUGAAUUUCAAUGAUAGUGAUAUGGUUCCGCUGGUGAAUUUAGUUAAAUUUAUGAUGUUUGUUAUCAUUUUUUUAUGAUGACAAUGGUUGUGGGAAGAUUCCGUUGGUGAAAUCUAUGGUGGUGGAGAAGUGAAUUUGAUGAUAAUAGCAUCAAUGGUAGUGAUUUAAUGGUGGUUUUGAUGGUGUAUAGGGAAGAAGAAGAAAU
This 443-nucleotide long non-coding RNA is filed under the name Solanum tuberosum (potato). Its description in RNAcentral is "long non-coding RNA (STUB_LNC008646)". Lineage: Eukaryota; Viridiplantae; Streptophyta; Magnoliopsida; Solanales; Solanaceae. The record is from RNAcentral.